Molecule: ribosomal RNA, 253 nt
Filed under: uncultured bacterium
Lineage: Bacteria
Description: partial 16S ribosomal RNA
Rfam family: Bacterial small subunit ribosomal RNA
Source: RNAcentral
UACGUAGGGGGCAAGCGUUGUCCGGAUUUAUUGGGCGUAAAGAGCGUGUAGGCGGCCAGGUAGGUCAGCUGUGAAAACUCGAGGCUCAACCUCGAGCUGUCGGCCGAAACCAUCUGGCUAGAGUCCGGAAGAGGAGAAUGGAAUUCCCGGUGUAGCGGUGAAAUGCGCAGAUAUCGGGAAGAACACCCGUGGCGAAGGCGGUUCUCUGGGACGGUACUGACGCUGAGACGCGAAAGCGUGGGGAGCGAACAGG